Molecule: ribosomal RNA, 498 nt
Filed under: uncultured bacterium
Lineage: Bacteria
Description: partial 16S ribosomal RNA
Rfam family: Bacterial small subunit ribosomal RNA
Source: RNAcentral
GGAUGAACGCUGGCGGCGUGCCUAAUACAUGCAAGUCGAGCGAACGGACGAGAAGCUUGCUUUUCUGAUGUUAGCGGCGGACGGGUGAGUAACACGUGGAUAACCUACCUAUAAGACUGGGAUAACUUCGGGAAACCGGAGCUAAUACCGGAUAAUAUUUUGAACCGCAUGGUUCAAAAGUGAAAGACGGUCUUGCUGUCACUUAUAGAUGGAUCCGCGCUGCAUUAGCUAGUUGGUAAGGUAACGGCUUACCAAGGCAACGAUGCAUAGCCGACCUGAGAGGGUGAUCGGCCACACUGGAACUGAGACACGGUCCAGACACCUACGGGAGGCAGCAGUAGGGAAUCUUCCGCAAUGGGCGAAAGCCUGACGGAGCAACGCCGCGUGAGUGAUGAAGGUCUUCGGAUCGUAAAACUCUGUUAUUAGGGAAGAACAUAUGUGUAAGUAACUGUGCACAUCUUGACGGUACCUAAUCAGAAAGCCACGGCUAACUACGUG